This 73-nucleotide transfer RNA is filed under the name marine sediment metagenome. RNAcentral describes it as "tRNA-Gly". It matches the Rfam family "tRNA". From Rfam's summary of the family: Transfer RNA (tRNA) molecules are approximately 80 nucleotides in length. Their secondary structure includes four short double-helical elements and three loops (D, anti-codon, and T loops). Further hydrogen bonds mediate the characteristic L-shaped molecular structure. tRNAs have two regions of fundamental functional importance: the anti-codon, which is responsible for specific mRNA codon recognition, and the 3' end, to which the tRNAs corresponding amino acid is attached (by aminoacyl-tRNA synthetases). tRNAs cope with the degeneracy of the genetic code in two manners: having more than one tRNA (with a specific anti-codon) for a particular amino acid; and 'wobble' base-pairing, i.e. permitting non-standard base-pairing at the 3rd anti-codon position. The record is from RNAcentral.
GCGGGAGUAGCUUAAUGGUAGAGCGUUCGGUUCCCCCGAGAGGUAGUGGUUCGACUCCGUCUCUCCCGCUCCA